AACAUGGCCAUACAGCCUGAAAGAUUCACAGCAACCCAGAAGGUGCAUCGUUCAGGUGCAAUUGCAAUUUACCUACCCCAUGUGAUAAAGCUCUAAGUGGCCACUCUGUCUUGCCAUCAUGUUCUACUUGUGAGCUUCUUGAAGGCAUUUUGCUGCCUACUGAGAGAAGCAGGAUGCUGGAAAAGAUAGACCUUGGAAUUGAUCCAGCAGAGCUCUGCUUAUGAAAGAAAAAAAGAAAAUGAGAGAGACAGAGACAGAAAAAAACCUGAGAAGUGCACACCGUCACUUUGACACCCGGACGUCUAAAAGUAAGUUACAUAAACUAUAUAAAACUGUAUAAAUUUAUAAAUGGUGUGAAGAAAGCAGAUAAGAAGAAGAAGACUUUUUCUCCCUCUGUGAUAAUAUUAGAAACCUGGGUCAUCCCCUGAAGCUAAAUCAUGAGAGAUUCAGGACACAUAAAAGGAAGUGUUGCUUCACACAGCACAUUGUUAACCUGCAGCAUCCACAGCCACAGGAACGAAUGAUGGCAGCCAACUUAACAAUGUUAUUAACAGAUCUGUUUGUAUUGUUUUGUUUUUAUGAUUGCAAUUCAGGCAUUAAAUUUUGCCAAUUUUUGUAAGCCGCCCUGAGUCCCCUCGGGUGAGAAGGGCGGGGUAUAAGUGUUGUAAAUAAAUAAAUAAUAAAUAAACUUGGACAGGUAUAAAAGUAUAAUGGACACACCUAUGGAUGAUGGGGCUGCUGAGGGCUAUUAGUCAUAAUUUUUAAAAUUUAUAUACUGUAAUUUCAUAUUGUAUUUAAUUGUUUUUAAUAAUUCUAUUAUUAUUCUAUUAUUGUAGUAUAUUAUGAUAUUAUUACUAUUAUUAUAUUAUUGUUAUAUUAUUCAUUAUUCGUGACUACAUUGAAACUGGAAUAGAGAAAAAUCAGCGUGGAAACUGCAAGAGGUACCAUAGAUUGUUGUACAUGGAAAUAAUGGUAGUAAAUAGUUAUGAUUUAUUAAAUACAGUUAUAUAUUACAAUUAUAUAUUUUUGUCAUUUAAACUAUACAUAUUGCAAAAUUAUGUUUUUUUUCUCGAAGUGACACACCACCCAAGUCAUGCUAGGUUUUUUGGUGAAUUUUGACACACCAAGCGCAAAAGGUUGCCCAUCAUUGAUGUAGGAGGAAGGUCUACAAAGAUUAAAUCCAUUACCUGUCACAGGUGUGUCUCCUCUUUUAGAUCCUAUUUACAGGAUUAUCUUUUUUUUCUAACUUGUUUCAGUAUAUGGACCUAAAUAAAUGCAUCAGUCUAGUAAAUUAGAUUUUCAGCAUGCAUCCACACCUCAGGGAAGCUAGGGAUACCAGAUGGCAAAUCUAAAGAAGGUUCCUGUACCUUUAGAAGUUGUGUAGAAAAGGGAGUUUCAGCUGGUGUUGCUUCUCAUGCAACCAGGAAACAAGCAACAUCAGCCCUCUUCUACAAAACCAUUAAAGGUACAGCAUGGCUAAACUGAGGCAGUCAUACUUUGGUUAUAUCAUGAGAGGACACGAUUCUCUAGAAAAGACCAUAAUGAUUGGUGAUGUAGAAGACAGAAGGAAAAGGAGAAAAUGAUGAUCCAGAUGGAACAGUUGAAUACAGUAGACAAAGAGGAAAAGUGUAUUCUAGAUAGAUAGACUCAAACAAGAAAGGUACAGCUGUGUUGAGUCUGCAAACCCUGACCUGGACUGCUGAUGACAGGUUGAUCUGGAGAUGUUUCAUCCAUAUGGUUGCCAUAAGUCAGUUGACUUGAUGGCAGUUGACUACAACAACUCUUUCAAGUUUUCACUCUAGCAGCCCUGUUGAAGCUCACCUCAAAGUUCUUCAUGCAAGGAUGGGUUGAGGAAUCUGUAAUUUUGCAGGCAAUAUCCGGUAUCUCGGACAGCAUAGUGACGUAAAGCCUGUGUAGCAUCAAACUACAGCUUUCUUCUUUUUGCAUGUGACUGUGUGUCUCAUUGACACUCUCAGUGGUGUCCUUCUCAGAAAUGAGAUAAAUAUAUGACUGUUAUUAUGAAGCAUAUGUUUUCAUCCAUGUUUCCUUCUGUUCUUAUGGCACUCAGAAAUGGAUUCCAGGCAAUGAGAGAAAUCUGACGGAGGAUUUGAUCAUUACUAUGUUCCCCACUUCCAAGGCUCACAUUUUAAGUCCACCAUUCUGGGUGUGUAGGAACAAAGAAAGGGGCUGAAAAGUCUUCAGAUUUGCUGGUAAUAUUAGAACUCAGCGAAAUUCCCAAUCCAAUGGGAAAAGACAAGAGUGGUACAAGUUGAAGUCUGGGAUAUAUUCUGUGAGUGGGAGAGCUGUGGAGGGUGUCAAAACACAUUGUGAGAAGAACUUCUUUUUCAGAGGCUUUGUUAACCAAGGACCAGCUGCUGGUUAUGAUGCAGCUCCUUUUUGCUCCAUUCCGCCUGGCCAAAUAGGUGUGCCAAGGAUUUGGUCCCCACAAACAAUGAAGUAGCAAGAUGGAGAAGUAAAGAACGGAUGAGAAUACAAGACUUUCUGCCAGGCAGACAGACUCUGCUCUUUUCUCCCCUUGACAGCUGGGCCUGGAAUCUAAUCUCCUGCCCUGGGUAAUAACCAGCACCUGUCCCCAGCUCAGUCAUCUUAAGCAUUGAUUCCAGCAAGAGGACUCCCUUGGCAUCUGUGGGUCAGAUUAAUCACUUGAGGGAGGGAGAAGGAAGGGGGGCAUGUGCUGCCUUGGAGAUUUUGUACCAUAUGUCGGCUUCUUUAUUUGCCGGCCUUAGAACUGCAAGAACUCUAUGGAUCUUGAACUUGGCCAAGGCUUGAACUAGACUCUGGGAGAUGGGCCUGCGAUCAGUUUCACAUGAUAUAGCUAUACUACUCUGGAUCCAAUUUAAUUGAUUCAAUUCCAUAGGAUGUAGCCAGGGCAGCUAAAGUGGGAUCGUAGUGCUCGAACUGUGCAGUGUGGAAGAGCCUGGGAUGAAGUGUUUGAUUUGUAUGGAAGGACUACAUCAGUGGUUCUCAACCUGGGGUUCCCAGAUGUUUAUUUAUUUGCCCCAUUAAUACCCCACCUUUCUCACCCCGAAGGGGACUCAAGGCGGCUGUUUUUGGCCUACAACUCCCAGAACUCCCAGCCAGUUUACUAGCUGUUAGGAUUUCUGGGCACUGAAGAUCAAAAACAUCUGGAGGUUGAGAACCAUUGGACUAAAUGCUUCUGAAGCAAACAGCAUUUUUCAAAUGGGCUGGGCUGUGGUGCAGGCUGGUCAGCAGCCUGCUGCAAUAAAUUACUCUGACCAUGAGGUCAUGAGUUCGAGGCCAGCCCGUGGCGGGGUGAGCACCUGUCAAUAAAUAAAUAAAU
Long non-coding RNA from Anolis carolinensis (green anole), 3322 nucleotides. RefSeq lists it as uncharacterized. The transcript is spliced from 4 exons. NCBI's taxonomy places the organism in Eukaryota, Metazoa, Chordata, Lepidosauria, Squamata, Anolidae. The record is from RefSeq and is a predicted model, not a curated record.